UGCAAGUCGAACGUGAACGGGGCUUCGGCCCUUAGUAAAGUGGCGCACGGGUGAGUAACACGUGGAUAAUCUGCCCUUAUGAUCGGGAUAACAGUCGGAAACGGCUGCUAAUACCGGAUACGCUCAAAAUGAACUUUUUGAGGAAAGGUGACCUCUGCUUGCAAGUUACUGCAUGAGGAUGAGUCCGCGGCCCAUUAGCUAGUUGGUAGGGUAACGGCCUACCAAGGCAACGAUGGGUAGCCGAUUUGAGAGGAUGAUCGGCCACACUGGGACUGAAACACGGCCCAGACUCCUACGGGAGGCAGCAGUGGGGAAUAUUGCGCAAUGGGCGAAAGCCUGACGCAGCGACGCCGCGUGAGGGAUGAAGGUUUUCGGAUCGUAAACCUCUGUCAGAAGGGAAGAAACCGCACCGUGCUAAUCAGCGGUGCAUUGACGGUACCUUCAAAGGAAGCACCGGCUAACUCCGUGCCAGCAGCCGCGGUAAUACGGAGGGUGCAAGCGUUAAUCGGAAUUACUGGGCGUAAAGCGCACGUAGGCUGCUUUGUAAGUCAGGGGUGAAAUCCCACGGCUCAACCGUGGAACUGCCUUUGAUACUGCUUAGCUUGAAUCCGGGAGAGGGUGGCGGAAUUCCAGGUGUAGGAGUGAAAUCCGUAGAUAUCUGGAGGAACAUCAGUGGCGAAGGCGGCCACCUGGACCGGUAUUGACGCUGAGGUGCG
Molecule: ribosomal RNA, 716 nt
Filed under: uncultured bacterium
Lineage: Bacteria
Description: bacterial SSU rRNA
Rfam family: Bacterial small subunit ribosomal RNA
Source: RNAcentral